CACCGCGGUUAUACGAGGGGCCCAAGUUGAUAAACCUCGGCGUAAAGGGUGGUUAAGAAGUUAAUAAAACUAAAGCCAAAUUAUCUCUAAAAUUGUAAAAAGUUCAUAGAGAUAAGAAGAACGACUACGAAAGUGGCUUUAUCAAACUGAAACCACGAAAGCUAUGGUA
RNAcentral lists this ribosomal RNA (169 nucleotides) under Pseudoplesiops rosae (Rose Island basslet). RNAcentral describes it as "partial 12S rRNA". The record is from RNAcentral. Lineage: Eukaryota; Metazoa; Chordata; Actinopteri; Pseudochromidae.